AUCCUGCUGACGAGUCCCAAAUAGGACGAAACGCGCAUCCUGGAU
Non-coding RNA from Schistosoma mansoni, 45 nucleotides. NCBI's taxonomy places the organism in Eukaryota, Metazoa, Platyhelminthes, Trematoda, Strigeidida, Schistosomatidae. The record is from Rfam.